This 758-nucleotide long non-coding RNA is filed under the name Lactuca sativa (garden lettuce). RNAcentral describes it as "long non-coding RNA (LSAT_LNC009105)". The record is from RNAcentral. Lineage: Eukaryota; Viridiplantae; Streptophyta; Magnoliopsida; Asterales; Asteraceae.
AAGAAGUGAUCAUAUUACCAACUAUUCAUUAAGCAUUAAUCACCUAAUAAACCAUAUCAAAUUUCUUACAUAAUACUAGACAACAUUUUUUUGUAUAAUUUGUUCAAAAUAAGAUAGAUAUUACAAAAGGAACUGUUGUUUAGUCACCAUAACUACGUUUAAGUAAUUCCAAACUUCUAUCAAAUCCUAUUUAUUACCCUUUUCUCGACUAGAAAAAAAUGUAGCUGAAAAUAUGUCUCUAAACUUCCUUAUCAUCUCCUUCGUUCUAUUGUCUUCAGAGAAUUUCGAUAGACAAUGCAAGAUAAUAUCUUCCAUAUUAUCCUUUUCAGUUGAGACAUUGUUGAAAAUUGUUUCAUACUUUUCUUCAUACUCCUGGGAAAAAAAGACAUUAGAAUAUUUUUCUUAUAUUAAGUUAGGACAUAAUUAAAAUAUAUUCUAAAACAUAAUUAAAUAAUAUAUUCUACUUAGAAUAUACCUCAAUACGUGUGUCCUGAUUCUCAUUCUUCUAAUUCUCAUUCUUCUCACGUUCUAAAUUUGAACUUUGUUCAAUUAGAUUUCCAACCCCAAAUCUACCAGCUUUAAUCUCAAAAGAUUGUCUUUCCUUCAACUUAUCUGUUGUUCACAUCGUAACUAAUGGUGUUUUACGUUCUAUUUUUUGGAGCUUGCAUUCAAUUUCAUCACAGUAAAUUAGCUGCAUUAUUUCAACAUCAUAUUAGAUAUCCAUUUUUAAGAAAAAAAAAAAAAGUAUAUGAAAAAAC